UCUCCGUUGGUGAACCAGCGGAGGGAUCAUUACAGAGUUGCAAAACUCCCAAACCCUUUGUGAACCUUACCUAUAACGUUGCUUCGGCAGGCGGCCCCAGGGCGGGGCUGCAGCCUUCACAGGCGCCUGCCGGAGGCCUUUUUAAACUCUGUUUUUCAGUGGUACACUUCUGAGUAAAACACAAAAUAAGUUAAAAACUUUCAGCAACGGAUCUCUUGGUUCUGGCAUCGAUGAAGAACGCAGC
This 244-nucleotide unclassified non-coding RNA is filed under the name uncultured fungus. RNAcentral describes it as "sequence contains ITS1, 5.8S rRNA gene". The stretch from base 196 to 244 matches the Rfam family "5.8S ribosomal RNA", at positions 1 to 49 of the family's 154-position model. The record is from RNAcentral. Lineage: Eukaryota; Fungi.